RNAcentral lists this long non-coding RNA (1347 nucleotides) under Calidris pygmaea (Spoon-billed sandpiper). Its description in RNAcentral is "lncRNA (ENSCPGG00000014667.1)". Lineage: Eukaryota; Metazoa; Chordata; Aves; Charadriiformes; Scolopacidae. The record is from RNAcentral.
CAGGGAUGGUGCCUCAACUGCUUCCCUGGGCAGCCCAUUCCAAUGCUGGAUAACCCUUUCCUUGAAGAAAUGUUCCUUCGUCCCAUCCUGUAUCGCAUCCUGUAUCUCAUCCCCCAUCACACCCCGUGUCGCAUCCCGCGUCGCUCGCAGGGCAGCGGUAGCUGGUGACAAGCCAUGCGUUGGGAAAUUUGGAAUUCUAUCAAGCGUGCAGCCCUAUUUGGCUGCGGGAGCAAAUACCUCGCGGGAAGCAGAGAGUGUGACCCAGAGAGCCGUGGGUCCGGGGCUGGCCCUUCUCUGCUGAGCUGCCGCCGCCGCGAUGAUCUGUAUUUACAGAGACGGGUUCCGGAAUAUCCUCCAGUUAUGUCUGAGUUAAUGAUGCUCUUUCUCCCUGGGAUAAAGAAGAGCCCGAGAAGCUGAUGUGCUUUCUCUCAGCCUUGACCCAGAGGGGACGAGUGUCUGUCUGGGGACGCCGGGUUGGGGACCAGCAGGCUGCCCGGGGGGGGACCGGGAAAAGGAAACAGCAGGGAGGGAGGGAGCUGAAGGGCACAAAGGGCUCGGGUGGAUCCGAGCGGGGCCGGGCUGGAUCGGGGCUGGCGCUGAGCCGCAGGUCCCCAGGGUGCUGAGCUCUGGUCCUUGGUGGUGCCUCCUGCUAAAGGGCUUCUACCUCUGUCGUGCCCGGCCCCUGCCCGGAGACCUGUGCCCCCCCCCGGGGCUGAGCACAGCGCACCCGGGGCACGCAGCGGGAUGUGGCCAGCGAGACGGGCAGGGGGGCAACGGGAACGGGCUGCAUUUCCAGCUGUGCUGCUCCAGCAGGCUGGCAGCGAGGCCGUGCCACAUCCUACCGGGCACCUCGCUGCGGGGCUGGGGCUUGGUGACAAUGACACCCCGUGCCCCCCAAGUCAGAGCUCCCUGGGCAGGAUCCGGGCUGCAGAGAGCCCCUGUGCUGGCCGCUCUCAGUUGCCCAUGGACCACCAAGACGGUCAGGUUCAUCCCAUCCACGUGUGGCCUGCAGCUUGGCAGCCCCCCCCAAACACCACUGUGGCUCUGGGAUGUGACAUCCUCCGUGCGACACACACUCGUGCCACGUUUGUGCAACCGUAGGGUGUACCAGCCCCGUUUCUCACCCAGGUCUCCCUACAUCCCACCUCCCCCACACCCCCGCCAAACACACCACACCAAGGCCUUGCACGUGUGUGCAACACGGCUGCUGGCAGGGAGCACACGCACCCUGCACAGGGGUGUGCCACGCACGUGUGUGUGCAUCCACCGCUCGCCGUGUGUGCACUGCCCAUGCACCAGCGAGCACGGACGGACCCCUUGUGUGCACGNNNNNNNNNNNNNNNNNNN